GUCCACGUAGCUCAGCUGGAUAGAGCACGCGCCUCCUAAGCGCGGUGCCGGAGGUUCAAAUCCUCUCGUGGACGCCA
RNAcentral lists this transfer RNA (77 nucleotides) under Tissierellia bacterium. RNAcentral's name for it is "tRNA-Arg". It matches the Rfam family "tRNA". Rfam says of the family: Transfer RNA (tRNA) molecules are approximately 80 nucleotides in length. Their secondary structure includes four short double-helical elements and three loops (D, anti-codon, and T loops). Further hydrogen bonds mediate the characteristic L-shaped molecular structure. tRNAs have two regions of fundamental functional importance: the anti-codon, which is responsible for specific mRNA codon recognition, and the 3' end, to which the tRNAs corresponding amino acid is attached (by aminoacyl-tRNA synthetases). tRNAs cope with the degeneracy of the genetic code in two manners: having more than one tRNA (with a specific anti-codon) for a particular amino acid; and 'wobble' base-pairing, i.e. permitting non-standard base-pairing at the 3rd anti-codon position. Lineage: Bacteria; Bacillati; Bacillota; Tissierellia. The record is from RNAcentral.